Molecule: ribosomal RNA, 2926 nt
Filed under: Bacillus cereus
Lineage: Bacteria; Bacillati; Bacillota; Bacilli; Caryophanales; Bacillaceae
Description: bacterial LSU rRNA
Rfam family: Bacterial large subunit ribosomal RNA
Source: RNAcentral
UUUGGUUAAGUUAGAAAGGGCGCACGGUGGAUGCCUUGACACUAGGAGUCGAUGAAGGACGGGACUAACGCCGAUAUGCUUCGGGGAGCUGUAAGUAAGCUUUGAUCCGAAGAUUUCCGAAUGGGGAAACCCACCAUACGUAAUGGUAUGGUAUCCUUAUCUGAAUACAUAGGGUAAGGAAGACAGACCCAGGGAACUGAAACAUCUAAGUACCUGGAGGAAGAGAAAGCAAAUGCGAUUUCCUGAGUAGCGGCGAGCGAAACGGAACAUAGCCCAAACCAAGAGGCUUGCCUCUUGGGGUUGUAGGACAUUCUAUACGGAGUUACAAAGGAACGAGGUAGACGAAGCGACCUGGAAAGGUCCGUCGUAGAGGGUAACAACCCCGUAGUCGAAACUUCGUUCUCUCUUGAAUGUAUCCUGAGUACGGCGGAACACGUGAAAUUCCGUCGGAAUCUGGGAGGACCAUCUCCCAAGGCUAAAUACUCCCUAGUGAUCGAUAGUGAACCAGUACCGUGAGGGAAAGGUGAAAAGCACCCCGGAAGGGGAGUGAAAGAGAUCCUGAAACCGUGUGCCUACAAAUAGUCAGAGCCCGUUAACGGGUGAUGGCGUGCCUUUUGUAGAAUGAACCGGCGAGUUACGAUCCCGUGCGAGGUUAAGCUGAAGAGGCGGAGCCGCAGCGAAAGCGAGUCUGAAUAGGGCGUUUAGUACGUGGUCGUAGACCCGAAACCAGGUGAUCUACCCAUGUCCAGGGUGAAGUUCAGGUAACACUGAAUGGAGGCCCGAACCCACGCACGUUGAAAAGUGCGGGGAUGAGGUGUGGGUAGCGGAGAAAUUCCAAUCGAACCUGGAGAUAGCUGGUUCUCCCCGAAAUAGCUUUAGGGCUAGCCUUAAGUGUAAGAGUCUUGGAGGUAGAGCACUGAUUGGACUAGGGGUCCUCAUCGGAUUACCGAAUUCAGUCAAACUCCGAAUGCCAAUGACUUAUCCUUAGGAGUCAGACUGCGAGUGAUAAGAUCCGUAGUCAAAAGGGAAACAGCCCAGACCGCCAGCUAAGGUCCCAAAGUGUGUAUUAAGUGGAAAAGGAUGUGGAGUUGCUUAGACAACUAGGAUGUUGGCUUAGAAGCAGCCACCAUUUAAAGAGUGCGUAAUAGCUCACUAGUCGAGUGACUCUGCGCCGAAAAUGUACCGGGGCUAAAUACACCACCGAAGCUGCGGAUUGAUACCAAUGGUAUCAGUGGUAGGGGAGCGUUCUAAGGACAGUGAAGUCAGACCGGAAGGACUGGUGGAGUGCUUAGAAGUGAGAAUGCCGGUAUGAGUAGCGAAAGACGGGUGAGAAUCCCGUCCACCGAAUGCCUAAGGUUUCCUGAGGAAGGCUCGUCCGCUCAGGGUUAGUCAGGACCUAAGCCGAGGCCGACAGGCGUAGGCGAUGGACAACAGGUUGAUAUUCCUGUACCACCUCUUUAUCGUUUGAGCAAUGGAGGGACGCAGAAGGAUAGAAGAAGCGUGCGAUUGGUUGUGCACGUCCAAGCAGUUAGGCUGAUAAGUAGGCAAAUCCGCUUAUCGUGAAGGCUGAGCUGUGAUGGGGAAGCUCCUUAUGGAGCGAAGUCUUUGAUUCCCCGCUGCCAAGAAAAGCUUCUAGCGAGAUAAAAGGUGCCUGUACCGCAAACCGACACAGGUAGGCGAGGAGAGAAUCCUAAGGUGUGCGAGAGAACUCUGGUUAAGGAACUCGGCAAAAUGACCCCGUAACUUCGGGAGAAGGGGUGCUUUCUUAACGGAAAGCCGCAGUGAAUAGGCCCAAGCGACUGUUUAGCAAAAACACAGCUCUCUGCGAAGCCGUAAGGCGAAGUAUAGGGGGUGACACCUGCCCGGUGCUGGAAGGUUAAGGAGAGGGGUUAGCGUAAGCGAAGCUCUGAACUGAAGCCCCAGUAAACGGCGGCCGUAACUAUAACGGUCCUAAGGUAGCGAAAUUCCUUGUCGGGUAAGUUCCGACCCGCACGAAAGGUGUAACGAUUUGGGCACUGUCUCAACCAGAGACUCGGUGAAAUUAUAGUACCUGUGAAGAUGCAGGUUACCCGCGACAGGACGGAAAGACCCCGUGGAGCUUUACUGUAGCCUGAUAUUGAAUUUUGGUACAGUUUGUACAGGAUAGGCGGGAGCCAUUGAAACCGGAGCGCUAGCUUCGGUGGAGGCGCUGGUGGGAUACCGCCCUGACUGUAUUGAAAUUCUAACCUACGGGUCUUAUCGACCCGGGAGACAGUGUCAGGUGGGCAGUUUGACUGGGGCGGUCGCCUCCUAAAGUGUAACGGAGGCGCCCAAAGGUUCCCUCAGAAUGGUUGGAAAUCAUUCGUAGAGUGCAAAGGCAUAAGGGAGCUUGACUGCGAGACCUACAAGUCGAGCAGGGACGAAAGUCGGGCUUAGUGAUCCGGUGGUUCCGCAUGGAAGGGCCAUCGCUCAACGGAUAAAAGCUACCCCGGGGAUAACAGGCUUAUCUCCCCCAAGAGUCCACAUCGACGGGGAGGUUUGGCACCUCGAUGUCGGCUCAUCGCAUCCUGGGGCUGUAGUCGGUCCCAAGGGUUGGGCUGUUCGCCCAUUAAAGCGGUACGCGAGCUGGGUUCAGAACGUCGUGAGACAGUUCGGUCCCUAUCCGUCGUGGGCGUAGGAAAUUUGAGAGGAGCUGUCCUUAGUACGAGAGGACCGGGAUGGACGCACCGCUGGUGUACCAGUUGUUCUGCCAAGGGCAUAGCUGGGUAGCUAUGUGCGGAAGGGAUAAGUGCUGAAAGCAUCUAAGCAUGAAGCCCCCCUCAAGAUGAGAUUUCCCAUAGCGUAAGCUAGUAAGAUCCCUGAAAGAUGAUCAGGUUGAUAGGUUCGAGGUGGAAGCAUGGUGACAUGUGGAGCUGACGAAUACUAAUAGAUCGAGGACUUAACCAUA